UACGAAGGGGGCUAGCGUUGCUCGGAAUCACUGGGCGUAAAGGGUGCGUAGGCGGGUUAUUAAGUCAGAGGUGAAAUCCUGGAGCUCAACUCCAGAACUGCCUUUGAUACUGGAGAGCUUGAGUCCGGGAGAGGUGAGUGGAACUCCGAGUGUAGAGGUGAAAUUCGUAGAUAUUCGCAGGAACACCAGUGGCGAAGGCGGCUUACUGGUCCAUUACUGACGCUGAGGUGCGAAAGCGUGGGGAGCAAACAGG
Molecule: ribosomal RNA, 253 nt
Filed under: uncultured bacterium
Lineage: Bacteria
Description: partial 16S ribosomal RNA
Rfam family: Bacterial small subunit ribosomal RNA
Source: RNAcentral